Molecule: long non-coding RNA, 1417 nt
Organism: Grammomys surdaster
Lineage: Eukaryota; Metazoa; Chordata; Mammalia; Rodentia; Muridae
Exons: 4
Source: RefSeq, a predicted model, not a curated record
ACUUCAGAUCAAUCAAAGAUAACGCGUUGAGAGGAGCGGGGGUACCUUGCUUGGACCCAGAAAGAAAUACUAUUUCUCCACCCCCAAUCACACACACACACCCCUUAGUCGCUCCCUCCAAAUGGUUAUCACAACUGAGUACAAACUGAUAGGGUUCUUAGCGGGCCAAGGACUGGAAAUGAACACUGGCGGGGUUAUCAGUGCCGGUCUGUCAGCAGCGCUGACUGGAAAGUCUCUAACUGCUUGUCCCAGGCAGCAGCAGUGAUAUACGUCUUAUUCCUUCGGACUCACAAAAAGGAUUUCUUCUUCUGACAAGUUGGACACCGGAAGGCUUCGGGAAGGGAAUUGCACAGGAGAAACACUCUUGUGGGAGUGGAUUUUCACACGCACACCCCAGCGUGGCUGCCUUUCUGAAAGGCUGAAAGUAGAAAACUCUGGAAUGGAAAGACUUCCGGAUAGAGCAGGAUUCGAAGGCUUUAAAUUUUAACCCGAGUUCGAUCGAAAGUUACUACCACAAGAGACUGGCACGGGCCGGCCUGAUUCCCACCACGGCUCCCAGCGGCUUGCUUUGCGUUGUCCGGCCUCAGGCUACAGGGCUAAUACACCGGUCCCGGGCGGCGGGCGGCGAGAAUCAAGCGACACGCCGGACCCGACCCUGCCCCUGCGGUCACGCGCGUUUGCAGCCUCUGGUGACCCUGGCCGGCAGCCUCCAGCUCAGCGCAGAGGUGGGCUCGCGGCUACCCGAGAGGUCAUUGAGGUGGCAUCUCUGUCCGCGCGCUGUUUACGUGACUUAAUGUACUUCUUACGCGGCGCUUGUUAUCUAGGCCACCCAAUGACCGACGAAAGAUCUUCCCUCCCCACGCCUCCCAUAGCCGUUUUAAACCAAAUAAAUUUAGCUAUUAAGGGCCAAGAUGUCUGACAAAAGAUCCGAAAGGUGUCUCUCUGGGAUCCCUUAAAGAAGCGGAGAAGCUGGCGGCUCUCCACCAUCCCGAUAAAGAAAUUCCACGCCGGCGCCGGCCUCCCUUUGCAGCCUGCUUGUGUCCGACACCCUGAAAUCGCCACCUCAAAGGUCCUUUGCGACCUGUGACUGCAAUUGAGGCAUUGUCUCCGGGUCUCCUGGCCUGGGGAUGCUUGGGCAUUGGAACUAACCCUAACCCUAACCCAGAAGCUGUAGGACCUAAAGCAUUCCUGCCAGGCCUGCAAAAGAACCAAGAUCAAUGAAACAAGCCCAAAGUGCCAUUUAAAUUUGCCCCCCCCCCUUCCUUUGAGAUAAAGCCUUCUAUUAUGUAUGACAAGCUGGCCUGGAGCUCCAGAUCCUCAAGGCUCAGGCCUGUAGAGCAUUGAUUGGAAUUACAAAUGUUUGUAGCCUUGUCCUACUGUUGUUUUUUCUAAUAUUAAGAAAGACAAAAGCAAAUCA